AUUGAACGCUGGCGGAAUGCUUUACACAUGCAAGUCGAACGGCAGCACGGACUUAGGUCUGGUGGCGAGUGGCGAACGGGUGAGUAAUGUAUCGGAACGUGCCCAGUCGUGGGGGAUAACGUAGUGAAAAUUACGCGAAUAACGCAUACGAUCUAUGGAUGAAAGCGGGGGAUCGCAAGACCUCGCGCGAUUGGAGCGGCCGAUAUCAGAUUAGGUAGUUGGGGGGGUAAAGGCCCACCAAGCUAACGAUCUGUAGCUGGUCUGAGAGGACGAUCAGCCACACUGGAACUGAGACACGGUCCAGACUCCUACGGGAGGCAGCAGUGGGGAAUUUUGGACAAUGGGCGAAAGCCUGAUCCAGCCAUUCCGCGUGCAGUAUGAAGGCCCUCGGGUUGUAAACUGCUUUUGUACAGAACGAAAAGGUUUCUACUAAUACUAGGAGCUCAUGACGGUACUGUAAGAAUAAGCACCGGCUAACUACGUGCCAGCCGCCGCCGUAA
Molecule: ribosomal RNA, 500 nt
Filed under: uncultured bacterium
Lineage: Bacteria
Description: partial 16S ribosomal RNA
Rfam family: Bacterial small subunit ribosomal RNA
Source: RNAcentral